This 69-nucleotide transfer RNA is filed under the name Fukomys damarensis (Damara mole-rat). It matches the Rfam family "tRNA". From Rfam's summary of the family: Transfer RNA (tRNA) molecules are approximately 80 nucleotides in length. Their secondary structure includes four short double-helical elements and three loops (D, anti-codon, and T loops). The record is from Rfam by way of RNAcentral. Lineage: Eukaryota; Metazoa; Chordata; Mammalia; Rodentia; Bathyergidae.
GGUAUUAUAGCUCAACGGUAGAGUGCUUGCCUCGCAUGUGCAAGGACCUGGGUUCAAUCCCUAGUGCCA